RNAcentral lists this small nuclear RNA (123 nucleotides) under Cervus hanglu yarkandensis (Yarkand deer). RNAcentral's name for it is "U4 spliceosomal RNA (ENSCHYG00000009906.1)". It matches the Rfam family "U4 spliceosomal RNA". Rfam says of the family: U4 small nuclear RNA (U4 snRNA) is a component of the major U2-dependent spliceosome. The structure of U4 snRNA from yeast and human has been reported. The record is from RNAcentral. Lineage: Eukaryota; Metazoa; Chordata; Mammalia; Artiodactyla; Cervidae.
AGCUUUGCACAGUGGCAGUAUCGUAACCAGUGAGGUUUACGAGGUGCGAUUUAUUGCUAAUUGAAAAAAAAAAAAAGACAAACUUAAAUGUAAAACGUAAAACUAUAGAACUUCUAGAAAAAA